Pipra filicauda (Wire-tailed manakin) is the source of this 792-nucleotide long non-coding RNA. RefSeq lists it as uncharacterized. The transcript is spliced from 3 exons. NCBI's taxonomy places the organism in Eukaryota, Metazoa, Chordata, Aves, Passeriformes, Pipridae. The record is from RefSeq and is a predicted model, not a curated record.
AUGGAAUGAGACCUUUCUAGGAUAUUCUGAUGGAGGGCAGCUCCCAUCUGUGCUGUGGGAUGUUCAGUGUGGCUGUUGCUCUCUGCUCUCUGUCAGUUCUGUGACACGUGGCCAUAGAGACCAGCAAAUGCCUCCCUGAAGAUCAGCAUUCCUGCUUCUCCACGUACAUGUUUUCAGACUUUCUCUUGAGGAGUGGCCUUGCCCCAUCCAGCCCCCGGAGCGUUCCCAGUGCUCUCAUCCCGCUGUGGUUUCCAGCUCGGCCACAAGCUGCUGGCUCACCCCAGCUGGUGGGCAGCUGAUAGUAGCACUGUGUUCCUGUUCCUGAGCACGCUCAGGAGAGCGUAAAAAUAGUUGGGAAAGCAAGCUAAAAUCCACUAGGAAGGACAGAAGGAGAGAGGAGGAGAAGAACAACAUACGGCCAAUACUUGAGCUUGAGCUGAGCUGGAGGUGAUGAAAUCAAUGUGUGAUUGAUAUACAGUGCAGCUGCUCUGCUUCUCCAUAGCAUCUUCCAUGAAAAAACAACAGAGGUGAGAGCUGUGUGCUGGGAAAAGUGUUCACCUCAUGCCCGAGUUCCCAAAAUAGUCAGUGGAGCAGGAUCUGAAGAAGGUGGUUCAAAGGAAAAGCUUAAGUUCAAAUGCUCCUGUUCCCACCCCCUUCAGCACUGGGGCCCUGGGGCAGAGUCACUGCUGGCAGGUGUGAGUGGGGCAGUGACGGGAUGGCCUUGAGCACCUGAACUGAGAUGAUCUGAAACCAGGGGUUGGGAUUGACCCCCACUGUCCCCUCAGGUGAGAC